Molecule: ribosomal RNA, 1449 nt
Filed under: uncultured bacterium
Lineage: Bacteria
Description: bacterial SSU rRNA
Rfam family: Bacterial small subunit ribosomal RNA
Source: RNAcentral
AGGGUUUGAUCCUGGCUCAGGAUGAACGCUGGCGGCGUGCUUAACACAUGCAAGUCGAACGAACCUUCGGGUUAGUGGCGGACGGGUGAGUAACGCGUGAGAAUCUGCCCUCAGGAGGGGGAUAACGGUUGGAAACGACCGCUAAUACCCCAUAUGCCUACUGGUGAAAUGAGUUUCGCCUGAGGAUGAGCUCGCGUCUGAUUAGCUAGUUGGAGAGGUAAUGGCUCACCAAGGCUUCGAUCAGUAGCUGGUCUGAGAGGAUGAUCAGCCACACUGGGACUGAGACACGGCCCAGACUCCUACGGGAGGCAGCAGUGGGGAAUUUUCCGCAAUGGGCGAAAGCCUGACGGAGCAACGCCGCGUGAGGGACGAAGGCCUCUGGGCUGUAAACCUCUUUUCUCAAGGAAGAAGAUAUGACGGUACUUGAGGAAUAAGCCACGGCUAAUUCCGUGCCAGCAGCCGCGGUAAUACGGGAGUGGCAAGCGUUAUCCGGAAUUAUUGGGCGUAAAGCGUCCGCAGGCGGCUUUUCAAGUCUGCUGUUAAAGCGUGGAGCUUAACUCCAUCAUGGCAGUGGAAACUGAAAGGCUUGAGUAUGGUAGGGGCAGAGGGAAUUCCCGGUGUAGCGGUGAAAUGCGUAGAUAUCGGGAAGAACACCAGUGGCGAAGGCGCUCUGCUGGGCCAUUACUGACGCUCAUGGACGAAAGCCAGGGGAGCGAAAGGGAUUAGAUACCCCUGUAGUCCUGGCCGUAAACGAUGAACACUAGGUGUCGGGGGAAUCGACCCCUUCGGUGUCGUAGCUAACGCGUUAAGUGUUCCGCCUGGGGAGUACGCACGCAAGUGUGAAACUCAAAGGAAUUGACGGGGGCCCGCACAAGCGGUGGAGUAUGUGGUUUAAUUCGAUGCAACGCGAAGAACCUUACCAGGGUUUGACAUCCUGCGAACCUCUUAGAAAUUUGAGGGUGCCUUCGGGAAUGCAGUGACAGGUGGUGCAUGGCUGUCGUCAGCUCGUGUCGUGAGAUGUUGGGUUAAGUCCCGCAACGAGCGCAACCCACGUUUUUAGUUGCCAGCAUUUAGUUGGGCACUCUAGAAAGACCGCCGGUGAUAAACCGGAGGAAGGUGUGGAUGACGUCAAGUCAUCAUGCCCCUUACACCCUGGGCUACACACGUACUACAAUGCUACGGACAAAGGGCAGCAAACUCGCGAGAGCUAGCAAAUCCCAUAAACCGUGGCUCAGUUCAGAUCGUAGGCUGCAACUCGCCUACGUGAAGUAGGAAUCGCUAGUAAUCGCAGGUCAGCAUACUGCGGUGAAUACGUUCCCGGGCCUUGUACACACCGCCCGUCACACCAUGGAAGUUGGCCAUGCCCGAAGUCGUUACUCCAACCCUUGUGGAGGAGGACGCCGAAGGUGGGGCUAAUGACUGGGGUGAAGUCAUAACAAGGUAGCCGUA